UACGUAGGGUGCAAGCGUUGUCCGGAAUUAUUGGGCGUAAAGGGCUCGUAGGCGGUUUGUCGCGUCGGGAGUGAAAACUCAGGGCUUAACCCUGAGCCUGCUUCCGAUACGGGCAGACUAGAGGUAUGCAGGGGAGAAUGGAAUUCCUGGUGUAGCGGUGAAAUGCGCAGAUAUCAGGAGGAACACCGGUGGCGAAGGCGGUUCUCUGGGCAUUACCUGACGCUGAGGAGCGAAAGCGUGGGGAGCAAACAGG
Molecule: ribosomal RNA, 253 nt
Filed under: uncultured bacterium
Lineage: Bacteria
Description: partial 16S ribosomal RNA
Rfam family: Bacterial small subunit ribosomal RNA
Source: RNAcentral